Molecule: long non-coding RNA, 787 nt
Organism: Hibiscus syriacus
Lineage: Eukaryota; Viridiplantae; Streptophyta; Magnoliopsida; Malvales; Malvaceae
Exons: 2
Source: RefSeq, a predicted model, not a curated record
CCCUCCUUCCUUCUCCUAAGCUCUCUCUCGCACCCCGCCGUUAACCUCAGUCGUACCUUUUAGUCGCUCAUGGCUCCCAUCUCACUCAGUCUUCGUCAGCCGUUCACCCCGUUUCUUUUGUAAGCUCUCAGUGUUACUCACUGCGCAGGCAGCCAGCUCUCAGUUUCCCAUCGUCGGCGUCGCAAGAAGACACCUCACAGCCUCCCAACCUCGGCGUCGCAAGAAGACACCUCACAGCCUCCCAACCUCGGCGUCUCAUUCGGCAAGCAACAAAUAUCUUUUCAUUGUAUUCUAAAAAUGGACUCAGAUUCAUUUUCCCGCCAAGUUCUUCCUCUGCAGUGCAAAGCUUGGUAAGCAAUGUCUUUGGAGACUGUGGUACUGCGAACAUCAACCAAGGACCUUUGGAUAUGAUGUGCACAAUGAAUCCAAAGGAACCCUAAAUUUCUCAAUCAUGAUUCACAAGUUUCUCGGUAUCAUUAACUGGAUUCAACCGUCCAGAAUCAAAACCUUAAACCCAUGUAUCUCCCCGUCUCGACUUUGUCAUUUCAAGUCAGAAAAGGAUUAUGAUUCUUCAAACCAACCUUCAAAUUCUUCAUCAAGAACCGCUCAAAACAAUGUUGCAAUAUUCUGGGAUUUGGAUAACAAGCCCCCAAAUUCAUUCCCUCCGUUUGAAGCGGCCAUUAAGCUGAAAAGGCUGCAUCUACAUUCGGGGUUGUUCAGUCCAUGGUGGCAUAUGCUAAUCAUCAUUCGCUUAGUCACGUACCUAAAGUUGUUCGGGAGCAGAGAA